Molecule: non-coding RNA, 1250 nt
Organism: Paramuricea clavata
Lineage: Eukaryota; Metazoa; Cnidaria; Anthozoa; Malacalcyonacea; Plexauridae
Source: the annotation of a GenBank genome assembly
AGAUACGUAUAUGAAUAAUCAUUUGUUGAAAUUGGCUGAAAAUAUCCCUGGAGACUGGAAAAAACUGGCAAUAUUUCUUGGUAUUAGCGAUAGCAAAAUAAAGGAGAUUUACUUGAAUGAUCAGGCUAGUGUGGUAUGGCAAGCAUAUGUGAUGCUCAAGCAUUGGUGGACAUCUCGUCCUCCAGCCGCGCAGCCCUGGCGCGAGGAACUUGGCAAAGCUCUGUGUGAAAUCAAUAGAUUAGAUUUAGCUCGAGAUUUCACAGGUAAUGUUCUUCAAACAGAUACUUGACGUGUUGUGUAGAUGAUAGUAUUUUAUCUCUUGUGACGUAUGCAUGUUUUUCCAAAAUUCUGCCUUGAAGGUCCUUUUAAAAAAUCAGUUCAACAUUGUUUCCCAUGCAACAUUAUUCAAAAGUUUCUUCCAAUGUCAUUGGUUUGAACGGGCCAUGAAAAGUAAAACUUUGCGUCUAACAUAGGAAAAACGAUAUGUUGAAAAUGUAAAACCAGGAACGUAUUUGAAGAAUUUCAUUUUCGUUGGCAUUUUGAACUGAUACGCUUGAACUUUUGAAAAAGCGAAAAAUUGCGUUUCAUUGUCAAAUUCUAUGAUGUUUAUUACCGUUCAAUUCCAAAAUUGACACGACACCUCGCGCCCGAAGGAGCAAUAUUUUUAAGCACAUAUUUAUCCAAGAAAAAGUACAUGUUCGGUAUUGUUGAAAAAUUAAGUUCAGACUUCAGGUUCAAGAUUGUAUAUAUACACCCAAUAUAUAACAUUGAAAUGCAAUGACUGCAUAUGCUUAUUUUGAUAUUACAUAUUUCUUAAUCUACUUGUUAAGUAAUCGUAGUGUUUCACAAACAGAAACAAUUUUAUAUAUUGGUUCACAAUACAAACCAUAUACAGAGGUAACUGCAUGGUGAUCUCUAUUAGGCCAAUCCUGGCCUAAUAGAUCUCUAUUAGGCCAAUUAUCUCGUCGCGAGGUAAUGCAAUUAAAGGCAUUAUUAAAUUAAAGGCAUUAUUAAAGACAUUCAGGGCAAGUUAAGAGAAACUCGACCAAUUUUAGUUGCAAGUUAAAGCUAUUUAGUUCCAGAGCAGACCUUAUAUGAGUUUGAGACUGAAUUACUGUCAUAGUCAUAGAUAUAUUUUGUCUGAAUCAGACCAUUUUUAUGUAGUUCAGUAUCGAGACUAUAGUAACUUCUGCAACCAGCAUAACACUGUGUAUGUAUGCUAUUUCUCAAACACUCAUUAAUAAUUCAUG